Molecule: ribosomal RNA, 930 nt
Filed under: Cytobacillus solani
Lineage: Bacteria; Bacillati; Bacillota; Bacilli; Caryophanales; Bacillaceae
Description: bacterial SSU rRNA
Rfam family: Bacterial small subunit ribosomal RNA
Source: RNAcentral
UGGCGGCGUGCCUAAUACAUGCAAGUCGAGCGAAUCUGAGGGAGCUUGCUCCCAAAGAUUAGCGGCGGACGGGUGAGUAACACGUGGGCAACCUGCCUGUAAGACUGGGAUAACUUCGGGAAACCGGAGCUAAUACCGGAUAAUCCUUUUCUACUCAUGUAGAAAAGCUGAAAGAUGGCUUCGGCUAUCACUUACAGAUGGGCCCGCGGCGCAUUAGCUAGUUGGUGAGGUAACGGCUCACCAAGGCGACGAUGCGUAGCCGACCUGAGAGGGUGAUCGGCCACACUGGGACUGAGACACGGCCCAGACUCCUACGGGAGGCAGCAGUAGGGAAUCUUCCGCAAUGGACGAAAGUCUGACGGAGCAACGCCGCGUGAGUGAUGAAGGUUUUCGGAUCGUAAAACUCUGUUGUUAGGGAAGAACAAGUACCGUUCGAAUAGGGCGGUACCUUGACGGUACCUAACCAGAAAGCCACGGCUAACUACGUGCCAGCAGCCGCGGUAAUACGUAGGUGGCAAGCGUUGUCCGGAAUUAUUGGGCGUAAAGCGCGCGCAGGUGGUUUCUUAAGUCUGAUGUGAAAGCCCCCGGCUCAACCGGGGAGGGUCAUUGGAAACUGGGAGACUUGAGUGCAGAAGAGGAAAGUGGAAUUCCAAGUGUAGCGGUGAAAUGCGUAGAGAUUUGGAGGAACACCAGUGGCGAAGGCGACUUUCUGGUCUGUAACUGACACUGAGGCGCGAAAGCGUGGGGAGCGAACAGGAUUAGAUACCCUGGUAGUCCACGCCGUAAACGAUGAGUGCUAAGUGUUAGAGGGUUUCCGCCCUUUAGUGCUGCAGCAAACGCAUUAAGCACUCCGCCUGGGGAGUACGGCCGCAAGGCUGAAACUCAAAGGAAUUGACGGGGGCCCGCACAAGCGGUGGAGCAUGUGGUUUA